RNAcentral lists this ribosomal RNA (1346 nucleotides) under uncultured bacterium. RNAcentral's name for it is "partial 16S ribosomal RNA". It matches the Rfam family "Bacterial small subunit ribosomal RNA", at positions 28 to 1381 of the family's 1533-position model. The record is from RNAcentral.
GACGAACGCUGGCGGCGUGCUUAACACAUGCAAGUCGAACGGAAAGGCCCUGCUUUUGUGGGGUGCUCGAGUGGCGAACGGGUGAGUAACACGUGAGUAACCUGCCCUUGACUUUGGGAUAACUUCAGGAAACUGGGGCUAAUACCGGAUAGGAGCUCCUGCUGCAUGGUGGGGGUUGGAAAGUUUCGGCGGUUGGGGAUGGACUCGCGGCUUAUCAGCUUGUUGGUGGGGUAGUGGCUUACCAAGGCUUUGACGGGUAGCCGGCCUGAGAGGGUGACCGGCCACAUUGGGACUGAGAUACGGCCCAGACUCCUACGGGAGGCAGCAGUGGGGAAUAUUGCACAAUGGGCGGAAGCCUGAUGCAGCAACGCCGCGUGCGGGAUGACGGCCUUCGGGUUGUAAACCGCUUUCGCCUGUGACGAAGCGUGAGUGACGGUAAUGGGUAAAGAAGCACCGGCUAACUACGUGCCAGCAGCCGCGGUGAUACGUAGGGUGCGAGCGUUGUCCGGAUUUAUUGGGCGUAAAGGGCUCGUAGGUGGUUGAUCGCGUCGGAAGUGUAAUCUUGGGGCUUAACCCUGAGCGUGCUUUCGAUACGGGUUGACUUGAGGAAGGUAGGGGAGAAUGGAAUUCCUGGUGGAGCGGUGGAAUGCGCAGAUAUCAGGAGGAACACCAGUGGCGAAGGCGGUUCUCUGGGCCUUUCCUGACGCUGAGGAGCGAAAGCGUGGGGAGCGAACAGGCUUAGAUACCCUGGUAGUCCACGCUGUAAACGGUGGGUACUAGGUGUGGGGUCCAUUCCACGGGUUCCGUGCCGUAGCUAACGCUUUAAGUACCCCGCCUGGGGAGUACGGCCGCAAGGCUAAAACUCAAAGGAAUUGACGGGGCCCCGCACAAGCGGCGGAGCAUGCGGAUUAAUUCGAUGCAACGCGUAGAACCUUACCUGGGUUUGACAUGGAUCGGGAGUGCUCAGAGAUGGGUGUGCCUCUUUUGGGGUCGGUUCACAGGUGGUGCAUGGCUGUCGUCAGCUCGUGUCGUGAGAUGUUGGGUUAAGUCCCGCAACGAGCGCAACCCUUGUUCACUGUUGCCAGCACGUUAUGGUGGGGACUCAGUGGAGACCGCCGGGGUCAACUCGGAGGAAGGUGGGGAUGACGUCAAGUCAUCAUGCCCCUUAUGUCCAGGGCUUCACGCAUGCUACAAUGGCUGGUACAGAGAGUGGCGAGCCUGUGAGGGUGAGCGAAUCUCGGAAAGCCGGUCUUAGUUCGGAUUGGGGUCUGCAACUCGACCUCAUGAAGUCGGAGUCGCUAGUAAUCGCAGAUCAGCAACGCUGCGGUGAAUACGUUCCCGGGGCU